This 514-nucleotide ribosomal RNA is filed under the name uncultured bacterium. RNAcentral's name for it is "partial 16S ribosomal RNA". It matches the Rfam family "Bacterial small subunit ribosomal RNA", at positions 28 to 523 of the family's 1533-position model. The record is from RNAcentral.
GAUGAACGCUGGCGGCGUGCCUAAUACAUGCAAGUCGAGCGAACAGAUGAGAAGCUUGCUUCUCUGAUGUUAGCGGCGGACGGGUGAGUAACACGUGGGUAACCUACCUAUAAGACUGGGAUAACUCCGGGAAACCGGGGCUAAUACCGGAUAAUAUUUUGAACCGCAUGGUUCAAUAGUGAAAGACGGUUUCGGCUGUCACUUAUAGAUGGACCCGCGCCGUAUUAGCUAGUUGGUAAGGUAAUGGCUUACCAAGGCGACGAUACGUAGCCGACCUGAGAGGGUGAUCGGACACACUGGAACUGAGACACGGUCCAGACUCCUACGGGAGGCAGCAGUAGGGAAUCUUCCGCAAUGGGCGAAAGCCUGACGGAGCAACGCCGCGUGAGUGAUGAAGGUCUUCGGAUCGUAAAACUCUGUUGUUAGGGAAGAACAAAUUUGUUAGUAACUGAACAAGUCUUGACGGUACCUAACCAGAAAGCCACGGCUAACUACGUGCCAGCAACCGCCGUAA